GCCAGCACGGCAUUGUAGGGCUCCACCACAGUGUCCGACACCUUUGGUGAGGGCAUCACGCUGAACGAGUUCAGGAUGCGGUCGGGGUACUCCUCGCGGAUCUUGC
RNAcentral lists this microRNA precursor (106 nucleotides) under Bos taurus (domestic cattle). Its description in RNAcentral is "microRNA mir-220e". The record is from RNAcentral. Lineage: Eukaryota; Metazoa; Chordata; Mammalia; Artiodactyla; Bovidae.